Molecule: ribosomal RNA, 305 nt
Filed under: uncultured bacterium
Lineage: Bacteria
Description: bacterial SSU rRNA
Rfam family: Bacterial small subunit ribosomal RNA
Source: RNAcentral
AUUGAACGCUGGCGGCAGGCUUAACACAUGCAAGUCGAGCGGAGAGAGGUAGCUUGCUACUGAUCUUAGCGGCGGACGGGUGAGUAAUGCUUAGGAAUCUGCCUAUUAGUGGGGGACAACAUCUCGAAAGGGAUGCUAAUACCGCAUACGUCCUACGGGAGAAAGCAGGGGAUCUUCGGACCUUGCGCUAAUACGAUGAGCCUAAGUCGGAUUAGCUAGUUGGUGGGGUAAAGGCCUACCAAGGCGUCGACGGGUAGCCGGCCUGAGAGGGUGACCGGCCACAUUGGGACUGAGAUACGGCCCAG